AUGGGGGCAACCCCUAGUAAAGUGGCGUACGGGUGAGUAACACGUAGGUAAUCUACCCUAGAGUCUGGAAUAACCUGCCGAAAGGCGGGCUAAUACUGGAUAGAGCGACGGAAUCCGUAAUUGGGUUUUUCGGGAAAGGGAGCUCGCAAGAGCCCUUGCUCUAGGAUGAGCCUGCGUCCCAUUAGCUAGUUGGUGGGGUAAUGGCCCACCAAGGCUGUGAUGGGUAGCUGGUCUGAGAGGAUGAUCAGCCACACUGGAACUGAAACACGGUCCAGACUCCUACGGGAGGCAGCAGUGGGGAAUCUUGCGCAAUGGACGAAAGUCUGACGCAGCCACGCCGCGUGAGUGAAGAAGGCCUUCGGG
RNAcentral lists this ribosomal RNA (363 nucleotides) under uncultured bacterium. RNAcentral's name for it is "bacterial SSU rRNA". It matches the Rfam family "Bacterial small subunit ribosomal RNA", at positions 73 to 422 of the family's 1533-position model. The record is from RNAcentral.